CAUACAAUCACUGAAGUUAAGCAACGUCAAGCCAGGUUAGUACCUGGAUGGGUGACCGCUUGGGUAUACCAGGUGCUAUA
Molecule: non-coding RNA, 80 nt
Organism: Acanthosepion pharaonis
Lineage: Eukaryota; Metazoa; Mollusca; Cephalopoda; Sepiida; Sepiidae
Source: the annotation of a GenBank genome assembly